GGAAGCAAUCGAACAAAGGAUCCUUGUGAACUUGCGAAGUAUGAUGUUGUUCUAACUACAUAUUCAAUUGUUAGCAUGGAGGUGCCAAAGCAACCUCUUGUUGAUGAAGAUGAUGAUGAGAUAGGAAAAGGUGAAGGUGAUGAUGGAGCAUCCUUGGGGCUCUCAUUUGGUAAGAAAAGAAAAUAUCCUCCCAGUUUUGGCAAAAAGGGGUCUAGGAAUAAGAAAGGAAUGGAUGCUGCAUUACUUGAGUCUGUUGCUCGACCUCUUGCAAAGGUGGCAUGGUUUAGGGUUGUCCUGGAUGAGGCUCAGAGCAUCAAGAAUCAUAGAACUCAAGUAGCUAGGGCCUGUUGGGGCCUUCGUGCAAAGCGCAGGUGGUGCCUAUCUGGAACUCCUAUCCAAAAUGCAAUAGAUGAUCUUUAUAGCUACUUCAGGUUCCUCAGGUAUGAUCCUUAUGAUGUCUACACAUUGUUCUGCUCCACAAUAAAGAUUCCAAUUCAAAAGAAUCCAACAAAAGGGUACAAAAAGCUGCAAGCAGUGCUGAAGGCAAUAAUGCUUCGUCGCACCAAAGGGACAAAUAUUGAUGGCAAACCGAUCAUUACCCUGCCGCCCAAAGUAGUAGAACUGAAAAAAGUAGAUUUUACUGAUGAAGAGCGUGACUUCUACACAAGGCUAGAGAUUACUUCACGUGCUCAGUUCAAAGAAUAUGCAG
Molecule: unclassified non-coding RNA, 709 nt
Filed under: Hevea brasiliensis (rubber tree)
Lineage: Eukaryota; Viridiplantae; Streptophyta; Magnoliopsida; Malpighiales; Euphorbiaceae
Source: RNAcentral